Molecule: ribosomal RNA, 506 nt
Filed under: uncultured bacterium
Lineage: Bacteria
Description: bacterial SSU rRNA
Rfam family: Bacterial small subunit ribosomal RNA
Source: RNAcentral
CGGGGCAACCUGGGCGGCGUGCCUAACACAUGCAAGUCGUGCGAGAAAGUUCCUUCGGGAGCGAGUAAAGCGGCGCACGGGUGAGUAACACGUAGGUAACCUGCCCCCCAGUCUGGAACAACUAGAGGAAACUCUAGCUAAUGCCGGAUGAGACCACGAUCCCGUUCGGGGGUUGCGGCCAAAGAUGGCCUCUACUUGUAAGCUAUCGCUGAGGGAUGGGCCUGCGGGCCAUUAGCUUGUUGGUGAGGUAACGGCUCACCAAGGCUGUGAUGGCUAGCUGGUCUGAGAGGAUGACCAGCCACACUGGGACUGAGACACGGCCCAGACUCCUACGGGAGGCAGCAGUGGGGAAUAUUGCGCAAUGGGCGAAAGCCUGACGCAGCGACGCCGCGUGGGUGAUGAAGGCCUUCGGGUCGUAAAGCCCUGUCGCAGGGGAAGAAUAAGCAUCGGUAUAAUACGCCGGUGCCCUGACGGUACCCUGCAAGAAAGCACCGGCUAACUCCGUG